UACAGAGGGGGCAAGCGUUGUUCGGAAUUACUGGGCGUAAAGGGCGCGUAGGCGGCCCGCUAAGUCGAACGGGAAAUCCCCGGGCUCAACCCGGGAACUGCGUCCGAUACUGGUGGGCUUGAAUCCGGGAGAGGGAUGCGGAAUUCCAGGUGUAGCGGUGAAAUGCGUAGAUAUCUGGAGGAACACCGGUGGCGAAGGCGGCAUCCUGGACCGGUAUUGACGCUGAGGCGCGAAAGCCAGGGGAGCAAACGGG
This 253-nucleotide ribosomal RNA is filed under the name uncultured bacterium. RNAcentral's name for it is "partial 16S ribosomal RNA". It matches the Rfam family "Bacterial small subunit ribosomal RNA", at positions 524 to 776 of the family's 1533-position model. The record is from RNAcentral.